Molecule: long non-coding RNA, 2813 nt
Organism: Brassica rapa (field mustard)
Lineage: Eukaryota; Viridiplantae; Streptophyta; Magnoliopsida; Brassicales; Brassicaceae
Source: RefSeq, a predicted model, not a curated record
AAUAGCUUGAAAUUAAACAAAUAUAAUUAUAAUACACACUUAUUUUUAACAAAUCUUUAUUAUUUAAAACAUUAAUUGUCAUAUAUACUUUAGCCACAUUAGGCAAUUUCGUAAUCUUAUUUAAGAAAAUAAUGAAACACAUUAAUAAUGUAUUUAUUGUGGUUUAAUAAAAAUCUUAUUAUAUACUUCCUCUGUUUCUGAAAGAAGGAUUUUCUAGAGUAUUCACGCAUAUUAAGGAAACAAUUAACUUUUUACAAUUGAAUUUAUUAUUUAUUUUAAUAUACAUUUUCCAAUAAAUAUCAAUCAAUAGUAUUCAACCAAUUCAAAUAUUUUUAAUUAAUGUUUCUUAAAAAUAUACAAUUUUUCAACAUUAACUACUAAAAGUACCUUAAAGUUUUAGAAAAUCUAUCAUUUUGGAACAAAAAAUAAAUCUAAAAAAUCCUAUUUUCAGGAACAGAGGGAGUAUUUAGAUGAACCAACAUAUUUCUCUAAGGAUUUUAAGAAUCAGUUUUGUGAUGACACGUGACUACAAAAAAAUGUUGCAAUAAUUGUUAAAUAAUAUACAGGGGAUUUAAACGGAAGUACUAAAGAUUAAGCUCUUAAAAAUUAUUUUCGAUAUCUUCACUCGUAGAUCAACAAAAGUCGAACGAGGAGAAGAUCCCACUAACUCCAAGGCGACGCAAAGGUGAAAAGCGUGGCGAUUUGACAAAUCGGUAAAGAUACAUUAAACUUUUAAUUGUCUUCGGUGUGAAGGAAAUAAUCAUCCGACGAAUAAAAGCGUAGAUAGGAAUAUUCUUACAAUGAUCCUACGUAGCAUCUAUAUCUACAGCAUGGGUGGCGCAUUCGUUACUCAACCCCAUCCACGGAUCAUUCCCCUACGGACAGGUCCACCACAGGUACACUCAUCACAGCCAAUAAGAAUCUCGUCUUUUUCAAAUCACAUUUUCCAGUUUCCUUUUAUAAAUGGUUUCGAAGAGUGUUAAUUUUCAUUGCCAUUAAAGGAAAUGUAACUUUAAUCAACAUAUCUUCCUAGAGAUUAAAAAAAAAAGGUUAAACCAUAAAUUAUAAAUUUGUUUUGAAUGUAGAUUGCAAUUAUUACGUGGUAAGUCCACUUUAUCCGCUUAUCAAAUUGUUUUGGAUAGCAAUUAUCCAAUUCUUAGCCAAAAAUAAGACGAUUAUCCAACUUUUACGAGACAAAAGGUCAAAACAUAUCAUCCCACAAGGCACACACCGACACCAAUUAAUAUUAGUAAAAUCGAAGAUUGUAUCUACGUGGGAACGCACGUGUAUAUUUGUGGGAUUAAUUUUAAUUUAGAAUAGUAAUCAUAAGAAAAUAAUUCAUCUCGAGGAACUUAAAAAAAAAAAACGUUUACACUGAGAGACACUUUGUGUCUUUUAUUAACGCGGAAAGACACUUUAUGGAUAUAAAACACAUUGUUGGACAGCUGUCUUUUUGGUGGACACAAAAGCCCUUUAAGGAACUAAACCAGAUAGCUCCUCAAUUGGAAUAAAUGAAAAAUGUACAAAAGUAAAAGUAGUUGUAUGGGUUUUAGAGUCUCUUUCCUGACCGUCGGAUCAUUUUUUAAAAGAAAAUCUAAUGGCUCAGAAGAGGCGUAUUGGUUUGGCUCGUAAUAAAUGUUGUUCUUUAAACGUAACUUGUCGUGGGUUUCGUUUUUCAACGAAGGUGAGAAAUAAGGCAAGAAGAGAUAUAAGAGAUAGGACUGAUUGUUUCAAAAGUCAUGGUUAGUUUGGUUAUGGAUGUCUUAUUUGUGGUUGUGGUGGUGUAUUCAAAAUAGCAUCCACAUGUAGAUUGGCUUGUGGCUAGAGAAGGUGUGACUACAUGGGUGUUGUGGUUGAAACCAUGAAGGUGGGUUGUGGUUAGAGAGGUUGUGGCUACAUGAGUGUUAUGGUUGAAACCAUGAAGUUGGGUUGUGGUUAGAGAGGUUGUGGUCAGAAGAGGCAUAUUGGUUUGGCUCAUAAUAGAUAUUUAUAAAUUGAAUAAAGAAGAAAAAAAUUUGUGAAUUGAUGAAUUAUGGAUCUGAUUCGUCAUUUAGUAAAAUUGCUCUAUAAAAUCAUUCAUCAUUCAUCAUUAUCAUGAAACAACGAUUAAGCUUUUCUGUGGACACAAUUCAGUGGUCGAACACACUUCUGUGGACACAAUUUAUGUGGACAUGAAAAUAUUACAAAAUUUUAUGUAGACACCGUAUCUACCACCACCUUCUCCUCCUCAUGUCUUCCACCUCAUAUUCACAUCAACCACCACAACAUCCACCAACACGGCAUCCACCACAACUUCCUCCUCCACACAUCUUCCACCUCCGUAUCCACAUCCACCACAACAGCAUCCACAACCACGGCAUCCACCACCACAUCCUCCUCCUCACGUCUUCCACCUCCGUAUCAACAUCCACCACCAUAGCAUCCACCAUCACGGCAUCCAUAAUCACCACCAGCUCUUCAUCCUCACGUCUUCCACCUCUGUAUCCACAUCCACCACAACGGCAUCCACCACCACCACCUCCUCUCGGACCUUUGAUGUCGAGAGACGGUCUCUGAGAAGAUGAUAACGCGAAACACGAAACACGAAUCCGACUACGGUGAAACAUAAAAAAGAGGAGCGUUUUGGAAAGUUAGAUUUGAGGCCAAUUUCAGAUUAUGAAAUUUGGAUCUACAAGAUGUCGCCGUAGAAAAUAAUUAGGAUUCAUCGGAUUUUGUAAAAAGGGGAAAAGAUAAGGUGAGAUUGGAGAGAGGUGUGUUCAACUGGUUUUAUAAAAAGUUUAAAAAUAAGGAGAGAUAAUCGAUUGGGUUGAAUU